Long non-coding RNA from Venturia canescens, 583 nucleotides. RefSeq lists it as uncharacterized. NCBI's taxonomy places the organism in Eukaryota, Metazoa, Arthropoda, Insecta, Hymenoptera, Ichneumonidae. The transcript is spliced from 2 exons. The record is from RefSeq and is a predicted model, not a curated record.
CUCUGUUUAGAGUAGAAUGGUCGAGUAAUUUAUUUUGGUGGAGAGAUUGAAGCUGAAACGAGGGGAACGAAAAUGCAAGUGGCUGUGCGAAUGACACACGUCUCUAACCUAAAUUUCGGGCGAUGGAUCACUCAUUCGGACCGAGUAUGAAACACACCAUGAAUGGGGGAACUGCGAGCGAGUACGGCAUUCGAGAAUCGAGAAGGGGAAAAAUACUAUGAAAAAGAUGUCCAACAUGGAGGGAAUCGACCUACGGCACUUUAUCGGAAUACAUUUUUUUUCCUAUCUACUGUAGAAAUCAUGAAAACUUUCGAACUAUUACACAACUUCAAUAUAUCCCGAAACCAUCAAUUAUCUUGAGGUUUUUUCAAUUAAAAAUGAAUACCUUUUUUAUCUAAUUGUCCAAUUAUCUAACCUUAAUUGAUGGAAUAAUCAUUGACAAAUAAUUUAAUCUAAAACCGGAUAUGACGUUCGCGACAAUGUUACCAUCGGCCGCCACUCCGGUGCGCUGCCAUCGAUAAAAAUUUGAAUUCGCCCCCGCUGCAUUACAGAUUUGUAAAAAAACUUGGACAGACAAUUUGAA